This 157-nucleotide unclassified non-coding RNA is filed under the name uncultured Dothideomycetes. Its description in RNAcentral is "sequence contains ITS2". Lineage: Eukaryota; Fungi; Ascomycota; Dothideomycetes. The record is from RNAcentral.
CAACCCUCAAGCCCUGCUUGGUGUUGGGGCACUGCUCUCGCCCGAGAGCAGGCCCUGAAAUCUAGUGGCGAGCUCGCCAGGACCCCGAGCGCAGUAGUUAAACCCUCGCUCUGGAAGGCCCUGGCGGUGCCCUGCCGUUAAACCCCCAAUUUUUUCU